AGGCCCUUCGGGGUACUCGAGCGGCGAACGGGUGAGUAACACGUGAGCAACCUGCCCUUAGCUCCGGGAUAGCUCCGGGAAACCGGAAUUAAUACCGGAUACGACCACGGCCGACAUCUGCCGUGGUGGAAAGGAUUCCGGCUAAGGAUGGGCUCGCGGCCUAUCAGCUAGUUGGUGGGGUAAUGGCCCACCAAGGCGACGACGGGUAGCCGGCCUGAGAGGGCGACCGGCCACACUGGGACUGAGACACGGCCCAGACUCCUACGGGAGGCAGCAGUGGGGAAUAUUGCGCAAUGGGCGAAAGCCUGACGCAGCGACGCCGCGUGGGGGAUGAAGGCCUUCGGGUUGUAAACCCCUUUCAGCAGGGACGAAGCGAAAGUGACGGUACCUGCAGAAGAAGCGCCGGCUAACUACGUGCCAGCAGCCGCGGUAAUACGUAGGGCGCAAGCGUUGUCCGGAAUUAUUGGGCGUAAAGAGCUCGUAGGCGGUCUGUUGCGUCCGCUGUGAAAACCCAGGGCUUAACCCUGGGCUUGCAGUGGAUACGGGCAGACUAGAGGCAGGUAGGGGAGAAUGGAAUUCCCGGUGUAGCGGUGAAAUGCGCAGAUAUCGGGAGGAACACCGGUGGCGAAGGCGGUUCUCUGGGCCUGACCUGACGCUGAGGAGCG
Molecule: ribosomal RNA, 665 nt
Filed under: uncultured Actinomycetes bacterium
Lineage: Bacteria; Bacillati; Actinomycetota; Actinomycetes
Description: bacterial SSU rRNA
Rfam family: Bacterial small subunit ribosomal RNA
Source: RNAcentral